RNAcentral lists this unclassified non-coding RNA (315 nucleotides) under fungal sp. Its description in RNAcentral is "partial internal transcribed spacer region". The stretch from base 1 to 46 matches the Rfam family "Eukaryotic small subunit ribosomal RNA", at positions 1786 to 1831 of the family's 1831-position model. Lineage: Eukaryota; Fungi. The record is from RNAcentral.
AAGUCGUAACAAGGUCUCCGUAGGUGAACCUGCGGAAGGAUCAUUAACACGUAUCCACGUAUCAACCCUUGUGCUCUCUGUUUUGGAAAGGAAUAUCAACUGAGACGGAAAGGGCACGCAAGUGCGUUUUGUGUCUCUUUUGAAUUUCCAAUCUAACCUUUUUAUUUAUUUUCUUUAAACCCUUUGUACCUUUCUUACUGAAACUUGAUUGUCUUUUUGUUUUCGCGAAGAGAGCUUCGGCUCCUCUUUGUGGAAAGAAAAACAAUUAUUUUACGAAAUGCUUGACAACUCUUAGCAACGGAUAUCUUGGUUCUC